Triticum aestivum (bread wheat) is the source of this 5270-nucleotide RNA transcript. It is a transcript of the gene named phosphoinositide phosphatase SAC8, with no coding region annotated. NCBI's taxonomy places the organism in Eukaryota, Viridiplantae, Streptophyta, Magnoliopsida, Poales, Poaceae. The transcript is spliced from 17 exons. The record is from RefSeq and is a predicted model, not a curated record.
CUGUCAACAUUUGCCCGUGCCGUCAGCUCGCCGAAACAAUUAAAAGAACUAUCCCCAGAACUGAACCCUUCUCUGAAAUGUGUUCAGAAAGCUCCUUUCAUUCAUAUAUUACUAGUAGCUAAACUACAUUUUUUUUUUCGAUUUUUUGUUCCAAACAUUGAGCAACCCGGCCAGCUAUCUCAUCAAAAGCUCAAACGGGCAGAAACAGGUGGAAGGAAUCAAUUCUAAAGUUUGCUUGAAACGGGCCCGGCAUGUCCAAACUUUGCUUUCAAUAAAGGAGAAACACUCAAACCUAAAGAAAGAUUCGUGUUUAGCUUCUGUUGAGGAGAGACUCGAACCUAUGCAAACAAGAUCAAAAUAAUGACAACUUAUGCAGCUCUAGGACUAACACUCUCCAUUAUAAAUUAUAGUAAAUGACGGGCUAACCAGAAAGAAGAGAAACAUGCUAGAAAAAUCACAGAAAAAAAGAAAAGCAACCAACCAUAAAUCUCUGUUAUCAUUAAAUUUCACUACAGUGUGAUUUCACAUAUUGGAUGCUUGGACCAUCUGGCAUAGUAUCUGUACCUCUGCAUAUUGAAAAGCUUCCCUGGAAAGACAUGUUGAAAAUGUACCACCCUCUCAAAAGCAAACACACUAAAAAGCUUGCUGCACCAGUUAGAGAUCAAAUUUAAACUCUGCUUUCAAGUUUUCGAUAUAAGAAAGACUCAAACCUAAAGAAAGGUUCGUGUUUAGCUUUUGUUAAGGAGAGACUCAAACCUACACAAACAAGAUCAAAGAAGAUGACAAUGUAUGCACACUAGGACUAAUUUUCCUGAACAUGUAGAUCAACCUAAACCGAGAUAUAUUGGGAGUAAUAUUUUAGAAAAACAUGGUCAUGAAACUCAUGCCCUAGAGUUGUGUUAUGAUCGCUGUUUACAUCGCCAUCUAUCAUAUGAAUUAUACAUAGCCAUUGAACAUCUGUUAUGUGUUACAUGCACUUCGAGAUUGAAAUCCGUGCCUCACAGAAGGAACCGAUUGACAGUCUAUAUUGCUUGUAUCUUGGUAUAUAUCACAACUAAUGAAAAUUAUGCUAGAAUUCUCAGAAAAAAAUGGCACUCCCAUAAUUUACUGACACUUGCUAUGAUUGAAUAAAACCUUCUUAAAGUUUGUAGCUAUUUAAACUCAACUGAUAAGAAGUAUAUUUGAUCACCUAUUCUGAUAAAAACUAAAAGUACAUAAAGGUCAUCUAGAAAAAAUGAUACUCCCUCCAUUCCACAAUGUAGUGCCUAUAGAUUUUUGUGAAAGUCAAACUUUGCCAACUUUGACCAAGUGUAUAGAGAAAAUUGUCUACAUCUACAAUACCAAACAUGUACAUUAUGAAAAUAUAACUCACGAUGUAUCCAAUGAUGUGCAUUUGGUAUUCUAGAUGUACCUACUUUUCUCUAUAAACAUGGUCAAAGUUUGUAAUGUUUGACUUUUGUAAAAAUCUAUAGGCACUACAUUAUGGAACGGAUGGAGCAUUAGCUAGAAAAUCCCACAAAAGCCAAAACAUCCCACGGUUGAUCUAUUUCAUUGUUAAAAGUAAAUUCUCUGUUCUAAUAUAAUAUCGCGCAUAAAUGGUGCCAAUUCCCAAUUUUAACUUUAACUCCACAUAAUGAUGUAAUACAGUGUUUUAACAGUAUGAUGAUACAUCCCCAUGUGAGUUAAGGUGGCGUUUGGUUCGAUGGCGAGGCUGGGUUGGCUAAGGAUAUCCUCAACCAGGUGGUUAGGGAUAACCACUUUUCGUUGUUUGAUUGGGUGGGAUUGGAUUGGUUGAAUAUCCAUGUUUUGUUGUUUGGUUGAAAGGGUGAGGAGAGGUGGCUAGGGAUAGUUAUUUGUGUGUUUAACUUUGACAUGCCAAGUUUGAAAAAUAGAAAUACACUUUCAGAUAGCCUCUUUUUCUUGUGUGUAGUAUUUAUUCACGGUAGUACUAGUAAAAAAAAACUUCAAGAUACAUAUACACAAGCACACACGCACAAUCAGCCACACGUCCUGACGCAUAAAUUAGUAUACACACACAUAAUAACAGAUCGGGCUGCAGUUCGUAGAGCGACAAAUCAGAGAGUAGAAUUUCAUACAGGGGAAUUCGAGCAUGGGAAUUGAGAGGAUUGAGGCACCGAGCCAGCCGCAGCCUAACCCAGCAGAGGCACGCAGAGCUUGGUUGUGUGGCGGCCGUCGUUGAGGAACGCGUGAUUGUGUGGCGGCCGUCGUCGAGGAACGCGAGGCUCUGGCUGGAUCCGGUUCGCCGCUACUCUUCUCCGGCCGGCGCCGGCGCCGCCGCCCAGCAUGAGAAAGAGAGCGCGGAGAGGUGGAUAAACUGAGAUGCUUUUCGUUCGGGAGAACUGACUCGAAAGAAACGAUUCGCUUGCGACGCGAGCUUGGCUGCCUGCCGUCAUCCGCCAUAUUUUGCCGGCUCUUGCCAACCAGUUUUUUGAGGAAUAUUCUCAGCAUCUUGGCUAUCCCUAUCCUUUCAUCCCUGUAAACCAAACGAGUGGCAUCCCUCAGAAAAUUGGCUAUCCCUGUCCAACCGAGGGAUAACAGAUGAACCAAACGCCAUCUAAAAGAAAGAUGAUGAAAGUUUUUUCAUGCGCAAGCAAUUGGUGGGCACUGCUAUUUCGAGCAAAAGCAUAAAUUUGCGGUUGAUUUAGAAUUUUCAUUUGUUUCAUUUAUAUGAGAUUUUCGUACCCAGCAUUCCGUAAGAAGUUUUUGUAAAACCAAUUUUAUUGGAUCACUUGGAUCAGCUAAAUAGAUGUCAAAGAAUGCAAAAACUUUCUUCGAAGUAUAGUCGAUGAUUCUAUCAUGGAGACCAUUUCCUUUGUAUCCAGUUGUUGUGUCCCACUUGUUCUGUUUCAGCUAUUAUCUCACAUGUUGGUCUUCUGAUGGCCACUUGCAUGUUCUGUUUCUUUUGUUUUUGCUGAACUUGAACUCCUGUAAUUGAUAGGUCAUAGUAAUGGAACUGGGAAGGUUUCCCAUUCUCGCUCAAAUUUUCUUAUGAAUGAAGUACAUGUAGCUUUAUGAUAUUCUAGUCUUUAAUCUUUUUGCUUGCUUCUUAGACAUGAAUUGGAUCUAAAAUUGCUUGUGAAGCCAGUGUUCUCUCUGUAACUUGAAUGAUCACAUCACGCCCAUUUGUACCCAGAGGUGGCAUCAAGCAAACAUUGUGUGACUGACUGAUAGCUACUCCCUCUGCCCGAAUUAGUUGUCUCAGAUUUGUCUAGAUACAUCCGUUUCUGGACAAAUCUAAGACAACUAAUUUGGGACAGAAAUAAUAUUUACCUGCUUAUACUUUGUUGUUCUUUGUCUGCCUCUGUACUAGUAUUGGUGAACAGAAGCAUGUUCAGGCUGUCUACAAAUGCUAAAGUUGUUGCAGCAUGUAACUUACAAUUGUUACAUUAAAGAAAGCUGCAUCAAGAUGCACAGUGUUUUGAAACGAGAUGAGGCAUACUUCAUGUCUCUCUUGAGAAUUGCAGAAACUACUUGUGGACUUUAUUAUUCGUAUGACAGGGAUUUGACAUUAAACUUGCAGAGGGCAUCAAAGCUGGCUGCGGGGAGGGUACAUAAGCCACUAUGGAAGCAGGCUGAUCCACGGUUUGUUUGGAACAGGAAUUUGUUAGAGAAGCUUAUUGAAACUAAGGUAAUCCUAUUUGAAGAGAAUACAAACGUUUUUCUGAUUUUCAUUUUCAGACGACUUACCUAUUUUUAUAUGUUGUUGCAGCUUGAUGAGUUCAUUACCCCACUGAUCCAAGGAAGUUUUCAGACAGAGCAAUUUACCUUGAAGGAUAGACUAGUCAGAAUAACUUUAUUCUCUCAGAGAUGCAACAGGCGUUUAGGGACAAGAAUGUGGAGAAGGGGUGCAAAUCUUGAAGGUGCCACCGCCAAUUUUGUCGAGACAGAACAGCUGGUUGAGUAUGAAGGUUUAACGUCCUCAUUUAUACAGGUUAGGGGCUCUAUUCCACUUCUCUGGGAGCAGAUAGUGGAUUUAAGCUACAAACCACGACCCAGCAUUAUUGAACAUGAAGAAAUGACGAAGGUUGUUGAGCGCCACUUUCACGAUCUUUCACAAAGAUAUGGAGAUACAAUGGUUAUUGAUCUGACCGAUAAACAAGGUGAUGAAGGAAAUUUAAGCAAUGCAUUUGCUGCUGAAAUGCAGAACUUUCCUGAUAUCAGGUAUGUGCACUUUGAUUUCCAUCAUAUUUGUGGCGGAGGGAACUUUGAUAACUUGCAAGUUCUCUAUGAUGAAAUUGAGGAAGCUAUUCAGAAACAAGGAUAUUUCCUUAUGAACUCUAAAGGAGAGAUAUUGUUGGACCAAAGUGGCGUCGUUAGGUCCAACUGCAUAGAUUGCCUGGACCGCACAAAUGUGACGCAGAGUUUCCUUGCAAGAAAAUCUUUGGACUCACAGCUGCAGCGAAUGGGGGCAUUAUCAUCAGCUGAAAGUAUCUCUCAAUCUGAUAGCAUUAACGAUAAAUUUAAAAAAUUGUGGGUUGAGCAUGGUGAUGAGCUAAGCCUUGAAUAUGCUGGUUCUUAUGCCUUAAAGGGAGACCUUGUAAGGUAUGGAAGGCAGACACUGCCUGGAUUGAUUAAAGAUGGCAUGAGCGCUCUUUCCCGGUAUUAUUUGAACAAUUCUCAUGAUGGAGUGCGACAAGAUGCUCUAGAUCUUAUCAGUGGUUACUAAACGGUCAGCAAAAGCAGUUCUUCUCCUUUUCAAAUCAUUGGAUUUGAAUCUGCACCAUAUCUUCCUGUGGCGUCGGCAAUCAUAGUUGGUGGGAUCACUGUCACAACUUUCACUCUUAGUCAAGUUGGACGGAGCGCACAACACCUCAUCUCGUCCAUCAUCUUUGCUGGCUUGACAGCCGGAGUGAUAGCCUUGGUGAAAGCGAAUGGGAAGCAGCUCUGCUCUAGACCCCGAUUAUGCGGUCUGAUCUAGUUGGCGGUCCCUUUUCUCUUGUCCAGUUCUCAGAGCUUUGUUGCUGGAAUCUGAAUGGGUAUGAAGUGUUGAUAGCAAGCUACGUGUCCGCUGUCAGCGUAGAUAGAUUAAGCAAGGGAAAGGUUGGCUUGCUGGUCCGGUUAAUCUGAAGUAAAUUUUGUAACACCUGGUUAGAUUGUCUGGUUUCCUGGUAAAUAGUGGAUUGUGCAGUCAGAGACACGCCAUCUUGUAGUAAUGAAAAUUAAGGUUAAAUUGUAACAUUGAAUUCUACCGCACAGUUUCUGUAUCUUAAACUUGUGAAAUUGUCUACACAGAAUUUAAAAUUACUGAA